UUAGAACGCUGGCGGCAUGCCUUACACAUGCAAGGUCGAAACGGCGAGCGCGGGAGCAAUCCUGGUGGCGAGUGGCGAACGGGUGAGUAAUAUAUCGGAACGUGCCCAGUCGUGGGGGAUAACGUAGCGAAAGCUACGCUAAUACCGCAUACGAUCUAUGGAUGAAAGCGGGGGAUCGCAAGACCUCGCGCGAUUGGAGCGGCCGAUAUCAGAUUAGGUAGUUGGUGAGGUAAAGGCUCACCAAGCCGACGAUCUGUAGCUGGUCUGAGAGGACGACCAGCCACACUGGGACUGAGACACGGCCCAGACUCCUACGGGAGGCAGCAGUGGGAAUUUUGGACAAUGGGCGCAAGCCUGAUCCAGCAAUGCCGCGUGCAGGAUGAAGGCCUUCGGGUUGUAAACUGCUUUUGUACGGAACGAAACGGUGAGCUCUAAUACAGUUUGCUAAUGACGGUACCGUAAGAAUAAGCACCGGCUAACUACGUG
This 486-nucleotide ribosomal RNA is filed under the name uncultured bacterium. RNAcentral describes it as "bacterial SSU rRNA". It matches the Rfam family "Bacterial small subunit ribosomal RNA", at positions 31 to 507 of the family's 1533-position model. The record is from RNAcentral.